RNAcentral lists this ribosomal RNA (69 nucleotides) under Clostridioides difficile. Its description in RNAcentral is "partial 16S ribosomal RNA". The stretch from base 1 to 60 matches the Rfam family "Bacterial small subunit ribosomal RNA", at positions 1474 to 1533 of the family's 1533-position model. The record is from RNAcentral. Lineage: Bacteria; Bacillati; Bacillota; Clostridia; Peptostreptococcales; Peptostreptococcaceae.
ACUGGGGUGAAGUCGUAACAAGGUAGCCGUAUCGGAAGGUUCGGCUGGAUCACCUCCUUUCUAAGGAGA